This 486-nucleotide ribosomal RNA is filed under the name Nocardia colli. RNAcentral's name for it is "Nocardia sp. CICC 11023 partial 23S ribosomal RNA". It matches the Rfam family "Bacterial large subunit ribosomal RNA", at positions 697 to 1180 of the family's 2925-position model. Lineage: Bacteria; Bacillati; Actinomycetota; Actinomycetes; Mycobacteriales; Nocardiaceae. The record is from RNAcentral.
GAGUCGCAUGUUCUAGACCCGAAGCGGAGUGAUCUACCCAUGGCCAGGGUGAAGCGACGGUAAGACGUCGUGGAGGCCCGAACCCACUUAGGUUGAAAACUGAGGGGAUGAGCUGUGGGUAGGGGUGAAAGGCCAAUCAAACUCCGUGAUAGCUGGUUCUCCCCGAAAUGCAUUUAGGUGCAGCGUCACGUGUUUCACGCCGGAGGUAGAGCUACUGGAUGGUCUAGGGGGCCUACAAGCUUACCGAAAUCAGCCAAACUCCGAAUGCCGGUGUGUGAGAGCGUGGCAGUGAGACUGCGGGGGAUAAGCUUCGUAGUCGAGAGGGAAACAGCCCAGAUCGCCGGCUAAGGCCCCUAAGCGUGUACUAAGUGGAAAAGGAUGUGAAGUCGCGAAGACAACCAGGAGGUUGGCUUAGAAGCAGCCACCCUUGAAAGAGUGCGUAAUAGCUCACUGGUCAAGUGAUUUUGCGCCGACAAUGUAGCGGGG